RNAcentral lists this ribosomal RNA (330 nucleotides) under uncultured bacterium. RNAcentral describes it as "bacterial SSU rRNA". It matches the Rfam family "Bacterial small subunit ribosomal RNA", at positions 28 to 334 of the family's 1533-position model. The record is from RNAcentral.
GACGAACGCUGGCGGCGUGCCUAAUACAUGCAAGUCGAGCGGGGAGCUUUCGCGGAAGCCUUCGGGCGGAAGCGAAAGAUCCUAGCGGCGGACGGGUGAGUAACACGUGGGCAACCUGCCCGCAAGACCGGGAUAACUCACGGAAACGUGGGCUAAUACCGGAUAAGCGCUUUUUCCGCAUGGGGGAAGCGGGAAAGACGGGGCAACCUGUCACUUGCGGAUGGGCCCGCGGCGCAUUAGCUAGUUGGUGAGGUAACGGCUCACCAAGGCGACGAUGCGUAGCCGGCCUGAGAGGGUGACCGGCCACACUGGGACUGAGACACGGCCCAG